RNAcentral lists this microRNA (24 nucleotides) under Ananas comosus (pineapple). Its description in RNAcentral is "microRNA s1412_c065b". The record is from RNAcentral. Lineage: Eukaryota; Viridiplantae; Streptophyta; Magnoliopsida; Poales; Bromeliaceae.
CAGAUCGUUUUAAAGGGCUAGCAA